CGUCUGUUUAGAUGUGGACUGCUUUUGAGAUUUAGAAGGCUGAUUGGGAUGUGUGCUUACAUUGUAAUUCAAUGAUGUAAACGUUUAUGUUCAUAGGGUGGUAGAGCGGAUAAUGCAUCGAGAAUCAUGCAAAUCACACAAUCUUUCAACAUCUUAUAUAUGAUUCUCGAUGCAUUAUCCGCUCUUAGGUGUGAAUCAGCCAUUUUCAAGGUAUGUCCCGUUAUGUGAAGGAUAUGCCAUCCUUUGAUCAACUGUACCCAGAUUGAUCGAAAAAUUGAUCUGGAAAAGGUCAUGUACUGCAAAAGGUCUAUUUAGAAAUCUAUGAAUGUCCCA
RNAcentral lists this unclassified non-coding RNA (333 nucleotides) under Hevea brasiliensis (rubber tree). The record is from RNAcentral. Lineage: Eukaryota; Viridiplantae; Streptophyta; Magnoliopsida; Malpighiales; Euphorbiaceae.